GACCCAGGAAGAACAUUCUGGGGGCCACUAUCAGCUGUAUGAAUUGUCAUCACCUCCUGUUGCCACUGCAUGGUAGCUAUACAUAAGAAGUCUGAGUCUGGUGUAAUCUCAAUGACUUCACUGCGGCCACACCUUAUUUACGGGAGUCAGAACACAAGUAGGAUCAAGGUACAAGGCCAAAGUAUGGAGCAGGAAAAUUACCACUCUCUCCAGGAGCCCUCAGCUCCUGCCCACUUUCCUGCAACAGUGAUUCCACCAGCCACUCCCAGAUCAUGUGCUGAGAUAUAAUAAAGGAAAAAAUCGACAGGAUGUUUCCAGUUAAAGGCGAUCCAGGCAAAAGCAGAGAUGGGAGGUUUGGAUGGGGAGAUGUGAAAUGCAAGAAAUCAAGUUUCUGCGUGGAGAAGAAAAUAAGAAAAUGAAGCAGAACUAGAAAAAUGACAAAGUGUUGAGUGCUGAUUUAUUGCAGAAGCCUCUGGUCAUUUCCAUAUAUUGAAAUGCGCCCAAGCGGCCAGUCAGUCAAUUUCCUUUGAGCUGCUGCUGCUGUCCAUGGACUGCCCACGUGAUUCCCCCUCCCCUUUUUUUUUUCCAGACUCUAACACCUCCCAGCCCCGAUCAAGACAGGAAGGGGGUGGGGGGAGGCUGGAGA
Long non-coding RNA from Trachemys scripta elegans, 646 nucleotides. RefSeq lists it as uncharacterized. The transcript is spliced from 3 exons. The record is from RefSeq and is a predicted model, not a curated record. Lineage: Eukaryota; Metazoa; Chordata; Testudines; Emydidae.